Molecule: ribosomal RNA, 468 nt
Filed under: uncultured bacterium
Lineage: Bacteria
Description: partial 16S ribosomal RNA
Rfam family: Bacterial small subunit ribosomal RNA
Source: RNAcentral
GACGAACGCUGGCGGCGUGCUUAACACAUGCAAGUCGAACGGAAAGGCCCUGCUUUUGUGGGUAUCUCGUGUGGCGCACGGGUGUGUAACACGUGAGUAACCUGCCCUUGACUUUGGUAUAACUUCAGGAAACUGGGGCUAAUACCGGAUAUGAGCUCCUGCUGCAUGGUGGGGGUUGGAAAGUUUCGGCGGUUGGGGAUGGACUCGCGGCUUGUCAGCUUGUUGGUGGGGUAGCGGCUUACCAAGGCUUUGACGGGUAGCCGGCCUGAGAGGGUGACCGGCCAGAUUGGGACUGAGAUACGGCCCAGACUCCUACGGGAGGCAGCAGUGGGGAAUAUUGCACAAUGGGCGGAAGCCUGAUGCAGCAACGCCGCGUGCGGGAUGAAGGCCUUCGGGUUGUAAACCGCUUUCGCCUGUGACGAAGCGUGAGUGACGGUAAUGGGUAAAGAAGCACCGGCUAAUUACGUG